GACGAACGCUGGCGGCGUGCCUAAUACAUGCAAGUUGAGCGAUGAAGCUUGGUGCUUGCACCAAUUUGAAGAGCAGCGCACGGGUGAGUAACGCGUGGGGAAUCUGCCUUUGAGCGGGGGACAACAUUUGGAAACGAAUGCUAAUACCGCAUAACAACUUUAAACAUAAGUUUUAAGUUUGAAAGAUGCAAUUGCAUCACUCAAAGAUGAUCCCGCGUUGUAUUAGCUAGUUGGUGAGGUAAAGGCUCACCAAGGCGAUGAUACAUAGCCGACCUGAGAGGGUGAUCGGCCACAUUGGGACUGAGACACGGCCCAAACUCCUACGGGAGGCAGCAGUAGGGAAUCUUCGGCAAUGGACGAAAGUCUGACCGAGCAACGCCGCGUGAGUGAAGAAGGGUGUCGGAUCGUAAAACUCUGUUGGUAGAGAAGAACGUUGGUGAGAGUGGAAAGCUCAUCAAGUGACGGUAACUACCCAGAAAGGGACGGCUAACUACGUG
RNAcentral lists this ribosomal RNA (497 nucleotides) under uncultured bacterium. RNAcentral's name for it is "partial 16S ribosomal RNA". It matches the Rfam family "Bacterial small subunit ribosomal RNA", at positions 28 to 507 of the family's 1533-position model. The record is from RNAcentral.